Molecule: ribosomal RNA, 659 nt
Filed under: uncultured Sebacina
Lineage: Eukaryota; Fungi; Basidiomycota; Agaricomycetes; Sebacinales; Sebacinaceae
Description: eukaryotic LSU rRNA
Rfam family: 5.8S ribosomal RNA (bases 242-395)
Source: RNAcentral
UCUUGGUCAUUUAGAGGAAGUAAAAGUCGUAACAAGGUUUCCGUAGGUGAACCUGCGGAAGGAUCAUUAUUGAUUGCGAAUCGUUGUCUUCAGUGCUGGCCAGCUCUGGCAAGUGCACGUUGGCGGCUUUUCAUCCAAUACCCCUGUGAACCUUUGGCCUCUUGCUAGCUUUGGCUGGCAGAGGAUUUUUACACCCACUCGAAUGUAAUGAAAUUAUUGUUGUGCGCAAGCACUACUGUACAACUUUCAACAACGGAUCUCUUGGCUCUCGCAUCGAUGAAGAACGCAGCGAAAUGCGAUAAGUAAUGUGAAUUGCAGAAUUCAGUGAAUCAUCGAAUCUUUGAACGCACCUUGCACCCUUUGGCAUUCCGAAGGGUAUGCUCGUUUGAGUGUCAUUGUACUCUCACACUUCUGAUCCUUUUGGAUUGGGAGCGGUGGACUUGGGUGUUUGCUGCUUUACUGCGGCUCACCUCAAAUGCAUUAGUGCAACUCUUGGUUGGACAUAGUACGGCGUGAUAAGUAUCUUCGCCGGCACCUCGCAAGAGGGUGGCUGAUCAGGAGCUCUGUGCUCUCCAACUGUCUUCAGACAACAACUGACAACUUGACCUCAAAUCGAGUAGGACCACCCGCUGAACUUAAGCAUAUCAAUAAGCGGAGGA